CCAGAGAACUUUCCAGAGAUGGAUUGGUGCCUUCGGGAACUCUGAGACAGGUGCUGCAUGGCUGUCGUCAGCUCGUGUUGUGAAAUGUUGGGUUAAGUCCCGCAACGAGCGCAACCCUUAUCCUUUGUUGCCAGCGGUCCGGCCGGGAACUCAAAGGAGACUGCCAGUGAUAAACUGGAGGAAGGUGGGGAUGACGUCAAGUCAUCAUGGCCCUUACGAGUAGGGCUACACACGUGCUACAAUGGCGCAUACAAAGAGAAGCGACCUCGCGAGAGCAAGCGGACCUCAUAAAGUGCGUCGUAGUCCGGAUUGGAGUCUGCAACUCGGCUCCAUGAAGUCGGAAUCGCUAGUAAUCGUGGAUCAGAAUGCCACGGUGAAUACGUUCCCGGGCCUUGUACACACCGCCCGUCACACCAUGGGAGUGGGUUGCAAAAGAAGUAGGUAGCUUAACCUUCGGGAGGGCGCUUACCACUUUGUGAUUCAUGACUGGGGUGAAGUCGUAACAAGGUAAGCGUAGUGCU
RNAcentral lists this ribosomal RNA (521 nucleotides) under uncultured bacterium. RNAcentral's name for it is "bacterial SSU rRNA". It matches the Rfam family "Bacterial small subunit ribosomal RNA", at positions 988 to 1509 of the family's 1533-position model. The record is from RNAcentral.